Molecule: non-coding RNA, 206 nt
Filed under: Deinococcus maricopensis
Lineage: Bacteria; Thermotogati; Deinococcota; Deinococci; Deinococcales; Deinococcaceae
Also listed under: 1 other name
Description: FMN sequence
Rfam family: FMN riboswitch aptamer (RFN element)
About the family: The RFN element is a highly conserved domain that is found frequently in the 5'-untranslated regions of prokaryotic mRNAs that encode for flavin mononucleotide (FMN) biosynthesis and transport proteins.
Source: RNAcentral
GUCCUCUUUCGGGGCGGGGUGAAACUCCCCACCGGCAGUGAUCGCCCGCGUGCGGGCGUCAGCCUGCGAAGCCCGGUCAAACUGCACCACGACCAGGCCCGACUCAGUGAAACCCUGAGGCCGACGGUGAAGCCACAACGCGCGCGCACCCGCACUCCGCGGCGUGCCCGCCCGCUGGAGCGCAGUCCGGAUGGAAGAAGGAGGGA